Aegilops tauschii subsp. strangulata is the source of this 2769-nucleotide non-coding RNA. The record is from RefSeq and is a predicted model, not a curated record. NCBI's taxonomy places the organism in Eukaryota, Viridiplantae, Streptophyta, Magnoliopsida, Poales, Poaceae.
CUCCUCUCGAUCCCCUCGAUCUUCCUGACGCACUGACGCAGCCGCCGCUGCUGCAAGAUUGCAAAUCAGUCUGGAGAGGACCUUGCGUGAGCUCGCUGCCGCGUCGGUCUCCUCCUAGGGCGACACCGGGGCGCCCCCCCAACCCUAGCCGCCACAGACCCCACCACAACCGCGCCGCCGCCGCCGGCGGUGGCGAAGGCGGCUCCUCAAAGCAGGGACGCGUCUCCCGUCGGAAUCCAAGUCCGUUCGCGCGAGCUUCUCCGCCCCUCAAUCCGAUCUUCACCUUCGCUCAUGGUGGCCAUCAGCUGGCAUCCCACCAGCGGCCAGCUUGAUCUGCGCGGCAGUCGAUGACCGCCGUUGGGCCUGCUUGCGGCGCACAGAUCAGGUCGCGCGCGACGGCUACAUCAUCGCCGGAUCUGUCCUUUCGUCCGACCGCGACCCCAACCCCAGGGCCCUCCUCCACCGCCCGCUUCCCCCACUCCCGCUUGACUCCACGGGGGGCGCCGGUGGCGACGCUCUGCCCGGAGUUCCGCGGAUCUGCGUGUGCCAGCCGCUGUGCUCUGUCGGCCCUGGCCCGCGCUGUGGUUGCCCUUGGCUCGUCACCAGGCUCCUGUGUGGCUUGCUCUCGCACGUCCAGAUGCACCAUCGCCGGGUUCCCUGUUGCCCCUCAGAUAUGAUAAAUGCAUCCACCCAUCGCAUCCAUUGGCUUGGGUACCUGCUGACCUUCUGCUGCUCUGUCUCCGGGAGAAAUCCCUUCGCUAGCUCCUUGCUAGAUUGGCCGACAACUUGUCGGUUUGUUGCUCUUCCCUUACAAGCAUGGUCUAAACAAUGGUGGCUUCACCCUUGCUUGUGCCUCAACCCACAUGGUCAUCUUUGAGACGUGGUAUUCAGUCACAUGACAGAGUUCUCUUUGUCCUUGAGGUCAGGUGCGACAACUAGCGACACGUGCUGGAGCUUUUGGCGUCGCUGGCGGCGGCAUCACCUGCAUCCACCUCUCCCUGGUCGCCUUCGAGAGUGUGUGCGGCCGACCGUCAAGCUUGUGAUGACACACUUUGAAUUUCCGAGCAAGUCGCAACCUUUUCAGAUUCAUCAACACAGCUUUGGACAAAAACGUCUAUGCUCAACACAGCUGGUUCCCCCAAGUUCAGCAGUGACCGUAUGAUACACAGUACGCAAAAGAUAUAUGGGAUAUCAUCCCCGUCAUCAUGCUCUGAAUAAUUUAAGUAGUUUACAGAAACCUUGAGUCUGUGAGGCGCAAUCGGUCACAGAUUUGCCUCUACUCCUCAUUGGGAAGGUGUUGCUGCCCCCAGCUUUGUAUAGGAACAUGCAAGUUCUGACAUGGACCUGAGAGCUGAGAACAUGCAGGGUGAUAUGUAUGAAGGAAAAAAGCCAGAGCAGCGCUUGGAUAAAAGUCAGUGUUGGAAUUUUUUUGGCAGAUGCGGAAAUCUUGGUAAAGGUAAGUUCGGUCUUUCACUCGCUCACCAUGUUUUUUUUGGUCUGCAUUAUUUUUCUAAUCUACAUUUCAGGAGUGGCUAUAGUCAAUGCUUUCAUGUACAUGAUCGGUAUGAACUUUUCAUCAUAGCUUGGACAUAUCUCUUUUCACACGCGAUCUUAUUUACUUGAAAAAUAAGUUAUAUACUCUGGGUAAUAAUUUGAUGAGUAAGCCAUUUCAAUAAUUCUAUUUGUUUCAGGCAUUGGUAGAUUGUGGUACAACUGAAGAGUUUCUUGUGCUAAUACUUGCAGAUCUCGACACACCCGGAACAAUGAGCACAUGUUACCAGCCACAUUCAGGAUGUGUUCUUUUCAAAACAAAGAUACCCUGAUGCAUGACAAAGUUGUAGCGUUAAUCUCAAAAAAUUAUGCUUCUGUAGUAUGCAGUAUACACUAUAAACCUAAGAGUGGGUAGCUUCAGCUUGCUUCUGUAUUAUGCUUUCUCAUUGAUAACCUAGCCCAUGCUUGAUUAUAGUACACAUUAUUCCUGUUGAAAGCUACUCCCUCUGUCCCAAAAUUCUUGUCUUAGAUUUGUUUUUUUAAAUAUUAUAAAUUACGCGCGCCCGCGAGGAUUGUCUUAGAUUUGUCUAAAUACGGAUGUAUCAAGUCACAUUUUAGGUUCAUCUGUAUCUAGACAAAUCUAAGACAAGAAUUUUGAGACGGAGGGUGUAUAUUAAAUCCUAACUUUUGACUCUUCUGAUAAUGAAGUGAAGGUGCAGAACCGCAUCUUCCAUUGACACAAAAAAUAUAUUUAAAUAUUAUGAUUUUUAUUUUUUAUAAUGUUCUAAAUGUAUUUUUCUCAGGAUAAGGACGCACACGGCGGCGACGUUAGUAGGAGCGUAACAAACAAGAAGGGCGGGCGUGGCAAUGGCCAUUCAUGUGUCAGACGAAAAUAGUACACCCACAUGUGUGACGAGGCUGGACUUGACAUAUGCAUCAGCGAGCAUGGUGAUGAGGUGAGAGUUGGAAGCGUGGAUGUACUUGACAAGGACCAAGUAGAUGCGAGCAAGCAUAUGGUGGGCAAUGUCGACGAUGGUCGCGUCGAUGAGAAGACCGAAGAGGAAGGCUUAAUGUAAUUAGCCAGUGUCUUUGGACAGGUUGUCGACAGAUAAAAGUUCUAUAGUUUGGCUUGAGGAGUAACAUAGAUAGGCAUGCUGGUGCUAUAAGGCUAUAUCUCUCUUCGUGGACAAGAGCAUACAAUGCUUCAAGUUUCAUGGAAGUUUUAUAAAUUCUAUUAUGAGGCUCAAUCUGAAAUAAAAUGGUGUCUUGCUUUACCAA